This 219-nucleotide ribosomal RNA is filed under the name Triticum aestivum (bread wheat). RNAcentral describes it as "partial small subunit ribosomal RNA". It matches the Rfam family "Bacterial large subunit ribosomal RNA", at positions 2048 to 2264 of the family's 2925-position model. Lineage: Eukaryota; Viridiplantae; Streptophyta; Magnoliopsida; Poales; Poaceae. The record is from RNAcentral.
AUGUCUGUGAAGAUGCGGACUACCUGCACCUGGACAGAAAGACCCUAUGAAGCUUUACUGUUCCCUGGGAUUGGCUUUGGGCCUUUCCUGCACAGCUUAGGUGGAAGGCGAAGAAGGCCCCCUUUCGGGGGGGCCAAGCCAUCAGUGAGAUACCACUCUGGAAGAGCUCGGAUUCUAACCUUGUGUCAGACCCGCGGGCCAAGGGACAGUCUCAGGUAG